AGCUUUGCGCAGUGGCAGUAUCGUAGCCCAUGAGGUCCAACCAAGGCACAAUUAUUGCUACUUUAUUAAUUUGUUCUAAAACUUAGAAUCAUAGAAAAAUUAUAAAUCAU
RNAcentral lists this small nuclear RNA (110 nucleotides) under Alligator mississippiensis (American alligator). Its description in RNAcentral is "U4 spliceosomal RNA". It matches the Rfam family "U4 spliceosomal RNA". From Rfam's summary of the family: U4 small nuclear RNA (U4 snRNA) is a component of the major U2-dependent spliceosome. The structure of U4 snRNA from yeast and human has been reported. The record is from Rfam by way of RNAcentral. Lineage: Eukaryota; Metazoa; Chordata; Crocodylia; Alligatoridae.